UACGAAGGGGGCUAGCGUUGCUCGGAAUCACUGGGCGUAAAGCGCACGUAGGCGGCUUUUUAAGUCAGGGGUGAAAUCCUGGAGCUCAACUCCAGAACUGCCUUUGAUACUGAGAAGCUCGAGUCCGGGAGAGGUGAGUGGAACUGCGAGUGUAGAGGUGAAAUUCGUAGAUAUUCGGAAGAACACCAGUGGCGAAGGCGACUCGCUGGACAAGUAUUGACGCUGAGGCGCGACAGCGUGGGGAGCAAACGAGG
This 254-nucleotide ribosomal RNA is filed under the name uncultured bacterium. Its description in RNAcentral is "partial 16S ribosomal RNA". It matches the Rfam family "Bacterial small subunit ribosomal RNA", at positions 524 to 777 of the family's 1533-position model. The record is from RNAcentral.